This 494-nucleotide ribosomal RNA is filed under the name uncultured bacterium. RNAcentral's name for it is "bacterial SSU rRNA". It matches the Rfam family "Bacterial small subunit ribosomal RNA", at positions 38 to 507 of the family's 1533-position model. The record is from RNAcentral.
GGCGGCGUGCCUAACACAUGCAAGUCGUGCGAGAAGUUCCUUCGGGAGCGAGUAAAGCGGCGCACGGGUGAGGUAACACGUAGGUAACCCUGCCCCCCAGUCUGGAACAACUAGAGGAAACUCUAGCUAAUGCCGGAUGAGACCACGAUCCCUUCGGGGGUUGCGGCCAAAGAUGGCCUCUACUUGUAAGCUAUCGCUGAGGGAUGGGCCUGCGGGCCAUUAGCUUGUUGGUGAGGUAGCGGCUCACCAAGGCUGUGAUGGCUAGCUGGUCUGAGAGGAUGACCAGCCACACUGGGACUGAGACACGGCCCAGACUCCUACGGGAGGCAGCAGUGGGGAAUAUUGCGCAAUGGGCGAAAGCCUGACGCAGCGACGCCGCGUGGGUGAUGAAGGCCUUCGGGUCGUAAAGCCCUGUCGCAGGGGAAGAAUAAGCAUCGGUAUAAUACGCCGGUGCCCUGACGGUACCCUGCAAGAAAGCACCGGCUAACUCCGUG